RNAcentral lists this long non-coding RNA (2210 nucleotides) under Pogona vitticeps (central bearded dragon). RNAcentral's name for it is "lncRNA (ENSPVIG00000014648.1)". The record is from RNAcentral. Lineage: Eukaryota; Metazoa; Chordata; Lepidosauria; Squamata; Agamidae.
UUCUUUUUAGAUUGCACAGGAAUAGAAGCCCAUUUUAUUCUUCUAGGGCCCUGCAGAUACGUUAGCCCAAACAGUGUCCUUUUGAAAUUGGAAGAGCCCUCCUUAUCUUCAAAUUCCUGUUUCUUCCUCUUCCUGUUCCAUUCCUACCAAACUGACCAAAAUAUAUCAUACCACAACUGGUGUAUGACUCAUAAUGUUCUCUUUGUGUUUAGAAGGUUUGUUGUUGUUGUUUAGUCAUGUCCGACUCUUUGUGACCCCAUGGACCAGAACACGCCGGGCCCUCCUGUCUUCCACUGCCUCCCGGAGUUGGGUCAAAUUCAUGUUGGUCGCUUCGAUGACACUGUCCAACCAUCUCAUCCUCUGUCGUCCCCUUCUCUUGCCUUCACACUUUCCCAACAUCAGGGUCUUUUCCAGGGAGUCUUCUCCCUUGGUGUUAUUACACAACUUCAUACGAUUUAGAAACCCCUCAUUUGUGUCCCACUCCUCUGGUACCCCUUCAUUAGAUGUGGGAAACAUACUGAUGUUGGAUGUACUGUUUUCCCCCAUAAUGAGACCAACAAUUUGCUAUGUUUAGAUCCAACAUCCACAUCCCUUCCAGCAUCUCUGUUGGGUAAGCUGCCACCUAUUGAUAGAAGGUCAUGCAAAAAGCUGGACUGGACUGGAGGAAUCCCAAGCCGGAAUUAAGAAUGCCGGAAGAAAUAUCAACAGCCUCCGAUAUGCAGAUGAUACCACUCUGAUCGCAGAAAGUGAGGAGGAAUUAAGGAACCUUGUAAAUGAGGGUGGAAGAGGAGAGUGCAAAAAAUGGUCUGAAGCUCAAAACCACGACAGAGGGAGAUAACGUUUCCGGAUGAACCAUUUUCCUGCCUUCCCCUUGCCCAAGAAACAUUUGCCGUUGUCAAAACAAAUGGCAGAGGGAGCUGGGAAGAUGGAGCUUCAUCUACUGAGCAUGCUGAUGCAACUAUUCAUCUUGAGGACCGGGCAAGCUCUCAUGACAAAGAUUGUUUGUGCAUCUGGAGAACAAACCUCACUUCCCUGCGAAGUCUCAAGCUCCCAUACACGUUGGUUCUGGUUCCCCUUGAAUCCCACAUGUGCUAACAUAAGUGGGAAUUGGGUGGAGAUAGCCCAGAAUCAUACCACACAUGAAGUGACUCCUCUUCGGUUCAACCAGCGCCUGACAUUCUACAAUCAAAAAUCAUUGCUUCUCAGGAAUCUGGUCAUGAGCGAUGCUGGUAUCUAUCUGUGCCGCCUCCCCAAUGGCUCAGAAACUCACACUGAACUGCAGGUGGACCCAGGCUGCCACAACAACCUGCUUGUCUCCUAUGAGUGGCUUCAUCCUUCUUUGUUGAAACUCAGUUGCCAUCACUGCAUUUUCCAGAGGAGGACAGACUCUUUCCGCUGGGUGGUGAAUUCAAAGCCACUGGGGAACCGACGCUGGGCUAAGAAGAGCAACCAUGGGUCUACCGUCAUGCUACAUCCCUUCCGGCAAACCGUUUGGGGCCGCUGGGAGUGUCAUUCCCUCGAUUACACUUCCUGGGUCUCUGAAAUUUGUUUGGUUGCGCCCAUCAGAUACAUGGAAGCAGAUUUCGGUUCUGCAGACACAACAUCGUGGGCCUCCUUCCUUUCGUCAAGUUCUCCCCUUGCUAGGACCACAGAUGUUACACCCACUGGGCAUGCUCUGAAGAGGAUAGCUGUCUGGAUUUGGACCUUGCUGUUGGUGGGGCUGGUUUUGCUCCUGGCUGCUCUCGGAAUGGCUGUGUGGUUGAAGAGGAAACACCAAGAAAGAAAGAAAUGGACAGAUCCAACCAGACAGAAGGAAAUAAUGAAAAAGGAGAAUCUGGAUGAGAGACCUGCUUCCCUUUAUUAUGCUCAACUACAACAUCCCCGAAGGAAAUCCACCAGCAUUCGAACCGCAGACAGCUCCACGGUGUAUGCAGUCAUCGUCUGACACCAUUUCCAUCAUUUUUCACUCAUGCCUUAAGAGGGAGAGGGAGAGAGAGAGAUACACACACUAUUUCAUGACCUACAAACACUGCUCUGUAAAGUACUAGAAGAUUAUAGUAGACUUUCUACAUAUUUCCAUCUCUAAAUGUUUGGCUCAAACGAGAUGUUAGCGGAAUGCUGAUUCUGUUUGAUUACCCCUUUUCCUCUCCCACAAUAGCAUCUCAACACAGACAAUGAGACUUGCAAAAUAAACUUGUUUGUACUUUCCA